Molecule: ribosomal RNA, 494 nt
Filed under: uncultured bacterium
Lineage: Bacteria
Description: partial 16S ribosomal RNA
Rfam family: Bacterial small subunit ribosomal RNA
Source: RNAcentral
GACGAACGCUGGCGGCGUGCUUAACACAUGCAAGUCGAACGGGGAAGCGCCUUCCUUUUUGGUGGGUGUGGAUGAGUGGCGAACGGGUGAGUAACACGUGAGUAACCUGCCCCCUUCUUCUGGAUAACCGCAUGAAAGUGUGGCUAAUACGGGAUAUUCUGGGUCUGUCGCAUGAUGGGUCUGGGUAAGAUAUUGGUUCGGUGGGGGAUUGGCUCGGGGCCUAUCAGGUUGUUGGCGGGGUGGAGGCCUAGCAAGGCUGGGACGGGUAGCCGGCCCGGGAGGGUUGCCGGUCACGUCUGGGAGGAGGAACGGCCACAACUGGAACGGGACGCAGCAGUGGGGACUACUGGACGAUGGGGGGAGGACUGAUGCAGCGACGGCGCAUGAGGGAUGGAGGCAUGCGGGUUGUGAACCUCUUUCGCCAGUGAAGCAGACCUGCCUCGUCUGUGGGUGGGUUGACGGUAGCUGGAGAAGAAGCUCCGGCUAACUACGUG